UGCUCUUGCUUCCCCUUCAAAAAACAACUGGAAGAAAAAUAAUAUUUGGUUAACAGUCCAAUAUCUUACAUGCAUCCUAGUACAUUUGAACAUCCAAAGAAUGUACCUAGCAUCUAGCAUCUUCCAUACAUGAAGUUGAUAUUGAAGUGCUCAUAGCCUCAUACUCUCAAAGAAUUGAGAACCAAGGAGUCAGCUUCCGUCCUUUAAGAAUAAAAGCUGCACUGCCAGAUAUGGAAUUACACCUUGACACCCCAUAUCAGCCAAGGCAUCAGAAAAAAAGUCAAUAUGGGUUGAGCUCCAUCCCAAAAUAGUGGCACCUCAUUUUAUAAAUAGUCAAACAUUUCUUGAUGCCACCAAUUGAUUCCUUCAAACAUGUAAGAUGGUGGAUUAAGGGUAUGAUCGCCCACUUCUUACUCAAAAGCACCCAUCUCCCAGCAAGAAAUCACAGGAGCAAAUCUAAUUAGAACAGAUCUAUUGCAAAAGCAGUAUCCUUGUUCAUCCAGUCAAAGCAUCCAACAUAAACAGCGACUUUCAGCUUGUUUUGUGUUCUGUUUAGCAAAUGCAAUCAGUGCAAGGAGCUACAGUUGGGCACUUGUUUCAAAUUGUGUUUAGCAGAUGCA
This 620-nucleotide unclassified non-coding RNA is filed under the name Hevea brasiliensis (rubber tree). Lineage: Eukaryota; Viridiplantae; Streptophyta; Magnoliopsida; Malpighiales; Euphorbiaceae. The record is from RNAcentral.